GGUGCCGCCCUCCAGGCCCGCCCCAUAGGCGGUGACGAGGCCGGGGUCUCCCGCCUGCCCGGGGUCCCCAACGCGGACCUUAAAGGGGCUCCCCGGGAUGUGGGCGCCGUCGAAUUUCACGUCGAUGGAAUAAACGCCGUUCUCCCGCGGGAUGAAACGCACGGCGUAUUUAUCUUCGGUGACCUCGGAGAUGUGGCACUCCUCCACGGCUCCGGACGGGCUGUGAACUUUGGCAUCCAGGGCCCCUUUGGCCCCAUUGAGGCUGACGGCGAAGGAGGCGGGUUGGUGCACCUUCAGCCCCG
RNAcentral lists this long non-coding RNA (302 nucleotides) under Gallus gallus (chicken). Lineage: Eukaryota; Metazoa; Chordata; Aves; Galliformes; Phasianidae. The record is from RNAcentral.